AGAUUGAACGCUAGCGGGAUGCUUUACACAUGCAAGUCGAACGGCAGCGCGGACUUCGGUCUGGCGGCGAGUGGCGAACGGGUGAGUAAUAUAUCGGAACGUGCCCAGUAGCGGGGGAUAACUACGCGAAAGCGUGGCUAAUACCGCAUACGGCCCUACGGGGGAAAGGGGGGAUUCUUCGGAACCUCUCACUAUUGGAGCGGCCGAUAUCAGAUUAGCUAGUUGGUGAGGUAAAGGCUCACCAAGGCGACGAUCUGUAGCUGGUUUGAGAGGACGACCAGCCACACUGGGACUGGAGACACGGCCCAGGACUCCUACGGG
This 321-nucleotide ribosomal RNA is filed under the name uncultured soil bacterium. RNAcentral describes it as "bacterial SSU rRNA". It matches the Rfam family "Bacterial small subunit ribosomal RNA", at positions 26 to 345 of the family's 1533-position model. The record is from RNAcentral.